Molecule: long non-coding RNA, 940 nt
Organism: Homo sapiens (human)
Lineage: Eukaryota; Metazoa; Chordata; Mammalia; Primates; Hominidae
Exons: 2
Source: RefSeq, a predicted model, not a curated record
UGUCUUUAUUAGCAGCAUGAGAACAGACUAAUCCAGGAGGGUAGAGUGAGGUCAGAAGCACUAUCUUAGUGGGUUCUAUUACCCACCGCCCACCAACAGUAGGGCCCAAAAAUAAAAACAAAUCAGCUUCCCAGGAAAGCCAACUUUCUUUGUACUGAGACUUGAAUUUCCAAUACCAUGAUGUAUUUCAAGGCAGCAUACUCCUUCUGUGUCCUCUAAGGCCAAAGCCCUCAUAUUGACAACAACAACAAAAAUGAUUGUUGAGAUUCAUUCAUUGGAGCUGAACUGUUGCUCCCUGCAGGAGAGGGAACCUGUCUCUUAAUACAGGGCUCUGUUAAUUACAAAGGAAUCAGUAAUUAAUGGUGAAGUUUCAGAGCCUGUGGUAUUGGGGACGAAGGGAGAACAGCAGCAGCCAGAGAGCCUGGAAAGCGUGCAUAUUUUGUAAAGGGAGUUCACCGAUAAAAGCCUAAUUCUCCAGACUUGGAAUAUGAGAAUAAGGACUUAACUAACAUUGAGUAUUGAGUGCAUGCUCUUUUGCAGGCUCCACUGUAAUAGCUCUUGUCCUCUUCUUAUAAGAGUCACCUAAGAAGCUGACCCAGGAAAGUAGCCCUUUGACAGCAUCACAGCACGAGACACAGUUGAAUCCAGAGAUUAAGUACCCAAAGCCACAGCACUUGUAAGCAGCAGAACCUGGAAAUGAACCAAGAAAUAUUGAACUUCAAAGCUCAAGUUCUAUUUCUAAACAGCUGAGUCUGCCAGUUCAACAUGAACCUGGCUGGAAAGGCAGCCACAAACCUGAAUCCUUAAUUAGAAAAGCAAAAAUGAAAUAAGAAAUGGUGCUCAGUUAAUUUCAUAGGAAGCUCUCUCCCCUUCCAAGUGUGGGUGAAAUGAACUGAAAUGAAACUGUCAUCUUGAAAAUAAAAUCUCUGCCUUGCAGCCA